RNAcentral lists this unclassified non-coding RNA (231 nucleotides) under Glomeraceae sp. RNAcentral describes it as "partial contains 5.8S ribosomal RNA and internal transcribed spacer 2". The stretch from base 1 to 65 matches the Rfam family "5.8S ribosomal RNA", at positions 84 to 154 of the family's 154-position model. The record is from RNAcentral. Lineage: Eukaryota; Fungi; Glomeromycota; Glomeromycetes; Glomerales; Glomeraceae.
GUGAAUCAUCAAAUUUUUGAACGCAAAUUGCACUCUCCUCGGAGAGUAUGCCUGUUUGAGGGUCAGCCUAUAAAAAAUCGACAUCGUUGCUGUUUCGCGGUGGCGUUCGUCGGAAAUUGGGUUAUCUUAAAUCUUUGGUUUAUCGGCUUUAAAAUUUUUUUUACUAUUCUAAGAAGGUUUCUAAGAUUUUUUUUUUUUUUUUAUUAUAUGUAAUGUUUUAUUUGACGUGUU